Molecule: ribosomal RNA, 253 nt
Filed under: uncultured bacterium
Lineage: Bacteria
Description: partial 16S ribosomal RNA
Rfam family: Bacterial small subunit ribosomal RNA
Source: RNAcentral
UACGUAGGGUGCAAGCGUUAAUCGGAAUUACUGGGCGUAAAGCGUGCGCAGGCGGUUUUGUAAGUCUGUCGUGAAAGCCCCGGGCUCAACCUGGGAAUUGCGAUGGAGACUGCAAGGCUUGAAUCUGGCAGAGGGGGGUAGAAUUCCACGUGUAGCAGUGAAAUGCGUAGAGAUGUGGAGGAACAUCGAUGGCGAAGGCAGCCCCCUGGGUCAAGAUUGACGCUCAUGCACGAAAGCGUGGGGAGCAAACAGG